Molecule: long non-coding RNA, 311 nt
Filed under: Elaeis guineensis (African oil palm)
Lineage: Eukaryota; Viridiplantae; Streptophyta; Magnoliopsida; Arecales; Arecaceae
Description: long non-coding RNA (EGUI_LNC075489)
Source: RNAcentral
AGGAAAUAAGUAAUACCUCAAGGGUAAUCUGAUUACCCUGUAGAUGAUCUCUGCACAGCCCGAGGUUCUGAUGUAGCCAUGUAAAUGCUUGGCCUCUAUCAGUAUCCACUUGAGUUGGAUCUGAAACAUCUUCUCCUCAUGAAUCUAUGCUCCAAAAAUUAGAUCUCUAUCUGAUUUGGAAGUACUUCAGAACUCCUUCUGAAGUUGGAGUAGCAGUCUGUCGAAGAUGUCCUGCAGCCUUCUGUUCCAGGCAUCACCACGCCUUGGAUCUUUGCCAGAAGGAUGUCCAACUCUUUGGACAUGAAGAGGGG